UGAAAUGCUUAGAUAUGACAUAGAACACCAAUUGCGAAGGCAGCUUACUACGGAUAUAUUGACACUGAGGCACGAAAGCGUGGGGAUCAAACAGGAUUAGAUACCCUGGUAGUCCACGCCGUAAACGAUGAUCACUCGCUGUUGGCGAUACACAGUCAGCGGCUAAGCAAAAGCAUUAAGUGAUCCACCUGGGGAGUACGGCCGCAAGGCUGAAACUCAAAGGAAUUGACGGGGGCCCGCACAAGCGGAGGAACAUGUGGUUUAAUUCGAUGAUACGCGAGGAACCUUACCUGGGCUUAAAUGUAGAGUGCAUGGGGUAGAAAUAUCCCUUUCCUUCGGGACUCUUUGCAAGGUGCUGCAUGGUUGUCGUCAGCUCGUGCCGUGAGGUGUCGGGUUAAGUCCCAUAACGAGCGCAACCCUUAUCGUUAGUUGCCAGCGGGUAAUGCCGGGAACUCUAACGAAACUGCCGGUGUAAACCGUGAGGAAGGUGGGGAUGACGUCAAAUCAGCACGGCCCUUAUGUCCAGGGCUACACACGUGUUACAAUGGCCGGUACAGAGGGCAGCUACCUGGAGACAGGAUGCGAAUCUCCAAAGCCGGUCUCAGUUCGGAUCGGAGUCUGCAACUCGACUCCGUGAAGCUGGAUUCGCUAGUAAUCGCGCAUCAGCCAUGGCGCGGUGAAUACGUUCCCGGGCCUUGUACACACCGCCCGUCAAGCCAUGGAAGUUGGGGGUACCUGAAGUCCGUNACCGU
RNAcentral lists this ribosomal RNA (752 nucleotides) under uncultured bacterium. RNAcentral's name for it is "bacterial SSU rRNA". It matches the Rfam family "Bacterial small subunit ribosomal RNA", at positions 682 to 1437 of the family's 1533-position model. The record is from RNAcentral.